CCAGUUAUCCAUACACGCCUCCUCCUCCAGCCCCACGCCCCGCCACCGCCGGCCCUCCGCCCUCGACGCCUCCUCCUCCCGCCCCACGCCCAGCCACCGCUGGGGAGCGGGUGCCGCCACUGCGCCCCGCUGGCCCUCCUCUCCCCCCGCCAUUGUCGGGGAGCGGGCACCACGCCACCGCUGGGGAGCGGGUGCCGCCGGUCUGCUGCUGCUUCCACCCGAUCCUUCCUCCUCUUUGUAUACGCCAAGAAUUCGAUUACCAUGGAUCAACACGUUCGUGCGGCUGUUUAUUCACUCAAGGGGCAGACAGAGCAGGGCGGAGUGGCUCUCGCUCCAGGGGCGGUUUUCGCGGCGAGGUGGCCAGUGCCAAGGAGAGCGAGCAGCAGAGCGUCCUAGAGACGUACAAUCCUGUCAGCAGGGGGAUCUAUGACGUCCUCAUUGUUCUUGGUGCUUCUCUGGCGCUCAGAUUGGUGUCGCGUGCUGUGCUACAUCGUUGGCCAGAAAAACAAGUCUGGUCCAUCCGGAGAGCAGCAUAAGUUAUUGGUCUAAACUGUUUGAGAUUCAGCAAAGGGAUAGCUGCAUACUGGCUGGUACAGAACAUUUGGGGACACUUGCAAUCCCUUAUCGGUACUUCGUUUUCGUUUGACGCAGCCAUAUUCGAAAAUAUAAUUGUUAUGUCCUGUUGUGUCAUGGUGGUUUGUGUUUAACCAGAAUUCAGAAUUAACUCAAGUUGACAAGUGCGAGUGCCUGCGAUAUUCUCAGGUUGCAGCUUCUCGAAUGCUGAAUGUUUAGUCUCUUCAGACCCUAGAUUUCCACCACUUGGACAGAGUCGAGCCAGCAUCCGUCACUCACGACAAUGACGGCCACCUCGGUCCUCUCCCCCUCCUCUUUUGGCUGCUGGUAAUUUUGCCGUUGCUUCCUGGCUUCAAUUACCAGUUUAAAUAUGCAAACAUUCACCUCCUUGUGCAAUUCAGGUCCGUUUAAAUUAUACUGCCAUGGUUUAAAAUCUGGAUAAAAUUACUAUAGCAGUACUGUGAUUCGCUCUGUGACUUCUCUUUCGCACUUGGAACAACAGAAUAGAAAUUGGUUGCUGAGGUAAGGUAAUCAAGAAAAAUCCCCAUUGUUUUUUUUUCUGAUUGUGGUUAUAGUCUAUUUUAAGCCCACAUAAUUUUCUGUUGUUGUGAAUUGUAUUCACCUGCAUGUAGAAAUGGUAAGAUAAAAUUGUUUCACAUUUGAGUAUAUAAUAAAGUUCAGGAUAUUGGGAAGCUUUCUCACAUCAUGCAAGGAUAUAAAACCUAGAAAACUUCAAACAAUAGUGAAGCCAUCACACAACGUCUCCUAGGAGCAUCUCAAAUGUCCUUCGAUAAACUUAAUAUAAGCAGGUUAACUGGAGUGAAUUUUCUUCUCUUUGCUUUGCAUCACUUUCAUAAAGUCUUCGGUACCCUAAAUCUUUACAAGGAAGCUAGGCCCGUGUAUUUUUGUAAUGAUAUUUAGUUCUAUAGGCAACCUGCUUGCAUAGUAUAUUAUAACCUCUUUUUAACUUGCCUUUAAUAAGAGACAUGAUGGUACACAAAUUAGUUUUAGGAUGAUACUACUAAGAUGAAUCUUACCAGAUGUACCAUGGAAACAAAUAAUCAUUCACGAGAGUGCACCAAGAACAAUUGUUUUGGACUUUUAUGAAGUUAAAUUCUGUGACUUUGUACAUAAAUGCUUAGGUACAUUACAACAUAUAAUUUCAUAAGUACAAUUUUUAAACGUCAAGUAGAAAUUCAUUUGUACUUUUUUGCCUUUUAUGAUUGAAUAUUUUUCUAUUUAUACAUGAAUUUUCACGUGCAAGCUUACUAAUUUGCUUAAGUUCAGCAAGUGUUGGUCGACAGGCUAUGUUCUGACGUUGUAUGUUCAUGAUUUAUAAUCAUGAAAGAUUAGAUGAAGCAACUUGAGGCAAGCUUAAAAUCAUAUCUAAUAGAUAUCUUUUCUUGUUACAUCCGUAGCAAGAUUUUCAAGUUGUUAGCCAUACAAAAAGUAAGCUAGAUUUUCAAGCUACUUGUGUGUAGUACUCUGGUUUUCAGGUUUAAUUCUUCUUACAUGUAUCUGUUGUUGUAUUUAAAAAAGCAUCCAGAUCAAUGACUUCAUAUGAUAUUUUCCUGCAUUUUUGUUUAUGUACAAAAAGGGAAAUUUUCCUACAACUUCAACCACGUAAUCCGUAGUUUGUUGGUUUGUUUCUAAUAAUAUGCGUGAUCUUUUUCCUUUGAAGUUCGAACCUUUUGAUUUUAGGGAUGUCAUUUAUAAAGAUAUGGGAGAUAUUUUCAGUUCUUUGGCACUUCUUGCUUCUGGAAACUACGCACAGGUGGUGACGAGCAGAUGAAUGGUGACAGUAAGAAGAGGAGGAUAUGGGGACAUUCGACGGUGGCGGCGGCCGAUAUAAUCGUGCCUAUCAUCCUCAAGUUCUCCACCUAGAAGGGCGCCGUUAUUAGCAGUGGGAGCAGAGCAGUCGGCGGGUUCCUGGCUUACCUGCCUCACAACAAGGCGGGCACGGCUGGGCUAGGCAGCCUGGACAUCCAGGAUUCACAAGUCGUGGUCCACUCCUGCUCGGAACGCUACAUGUUGGCAUUAUUAUAAACUCCCCCCUCCCUCACACACACACACACACACACACACACACAAGACAACCCUCCAACAAAUCAGUGGGUCGAUCUUGUGUGAAAACUCCUACAGGGAUAAUACAAAUUUCUGGUUAUUGUGACAGCUAAAGGUUUACACUGGUCAUUACGAAAAUAUUGUCUGCUCGAGUUGGUGAAAUGAAGGUUGUGGAUUAAGUGGAAUUGUAAUGUACACAUUAUUGGUUGCACCUAUAACAUUUUUGGUAAAUUGAUAUUACAACGAGCAACAAUUUUCAGAGCAAAGAAUAUUAUAUGUUCUAGCAAUGGUUUACAAAUCCCUUUUUGUAGAGGAUACUUUGCUUUAUUCAAUGCAGGAAAUAUUUUAGUCCUUACUAGCUCCAUACUGUUGUAAGCACACUGUUCUUUUUGUUCAGUCCAAAGGUUGGUGAACCACAUGUUAAACUUCCAUUGGAAGCCGUAUUACAAAUACCUAUCGUGCAACCAGUUGUUGUACUUUCUUCUUCACUAAUAUUAUUUUAUGAAUUUUUCUAAACCUGGAAGAAGCUUCCGCUAUGAUGUUGUUUGAACCUGAAAAAAGCUUGUACUGCAUUGAUAACUGAACCUGAAAAUUGCUGCAUCCUAUAUACAUUGGUAGAGUAAAAAAUAACUUGAUUUAUGUAGGACUUGUUUUGGAUUAAGUGGAUAGGUGAUGCACUAUUCUUGAUUGCAGCUGGUGCUUUUUUGGUAAUUUGAUAACACCACGAGCAGCAAUCGAGUUUGAAAGCCAGAAAACAUACAAAACAUGUAAAUGGGAGUACUGCCAGUUUAGGAGCCAAGUAACCAUUACUAGAGUAAUCAAUCUGAGAAAUGAUUAGUUGAGGAAAUUGAGUAUUAUUGUACUUCUCGACAAUGAAAUGGUCUUUUUUUUG
This is a long non-coding RNA of Triticum dicoccoides, 3529 nucleotides long. RefSeq lists it as uncharacterized. The transcript is spliced from 3 exons. NCBI's taxonomy places the organism in Eukaryota, Viridiplantae, Streptophyta, Magnoliopsida, Poales, Poaceae. The record is from RefSeq and is a predicted model, not a curated record.